GUGAAUGAGGUUUUGAAUUUGCAGGCCUUCCGUGAAUCAUCGAAUCUUUGAACGCAAAUUGCACUCCCUGGCAUUCCGGGGAGUAUGCCUGUUUGAGGGUCAGUCUAGUG
Molecule: ribosomal RNA, 110 nt
Filed under: uncultured fungus
Lineage: Eukaryota; Fungi
Description: partial 5.8S ribosomal RNA
Rfam family: 5.8S ribosomal RNA
About the family: 5.8S ribosomal RNA (5.8S rRNA) is a component of the large subunit of the eukaryotic ribosome. It is transcribed by RNA polymerase I as part of the 45S precursor that also contains 18S and 28S rRNA. Functionally, it is thought that 5.8S rRNA may be involved in ribosome translocation.
Source: RNAcentral